GAUGAACGCUGGCGGCGUGCCUAAUACAUGCAAGUCGAGCGAACGGACGAGAAGCUUGCUUCUCUGAUGUUAGCGGCGGACGGGUGAGUAACACGUGGAUAACCUACCUAUAAGACUGGGAUAACUUCGGGAAACCGGAGCUAAUACCGGAUGAUAUUUUGAACCGCAUGGUUCAAAAGUGAAAGACGGUCUUGCUGUCACUUAUAGAUGGAUCCGCGCUGCAUUAGCUAGUUGGUAAGGUAACGGCUUACCAAGGCAACGAUGCAUAGCCGACCUGAGAGGAUGAUCGGCCACACUGGAACUGAAACACGGUCCAGACUCCUACGGGAGGCAGCAGUAGGGAAUCUUCCGCAAUGGGCGAAAACCUUACGGAACAACGCCGCGUUAGUGAUGAAAGUCUUCGGAUCGUAAAACUCUGUUAUUAGGUAAAAACAUAUUUGUAAGUAACUGUGCACAUCUUGACGGUACCUAAUCAGAAAGCCACGGCUAACUACGUG
Molecule: ribosomal RNA, 497 nt
Filed under: uncultured bacterium
Lineage: Bacteria
Description: partial 16S ribosomal RNA
Rfam family: Bacterial small subunit ribosomal RNA
Source: RNAcentral